AACGAACGCUGGCGGCAUGCCUAACACAUGCAAGUCGAACGCCUGUAGCAAUACAGGAGUGGUAGACGGGUGCAUAACACGUGGGAACCUACCCUUGGGUUCGGAAUAACCGCGGGAAACUGCGGCUAAUACCGGAUACGUCCUCUGGGAGAAAGAUUCAUCGCCCUUGGAGGGGCCCGCGUCGGAUUAGCUAGUUGGUGAGGUAACGGCUCACCAAGGCGACGAUCCGUAGCUGAUCUGAGAGGAUGAUCAGCCACACUGGAACUGAGACACGGUCCAGACUCCUACGGGAGGCAGCAGUGGGGAAUAUUGGACAAUGGGGGCAACCCUGAUCCAGCAAUGCCGCGUGGGUGAUGAAGGCCUUCGGGUUGUAAAGCCCUUUUGGCAGGGACGAUGAUGACGGUACCUGCAGAAUAAGCCCCGGCUAACUUCGUGCCAGCCGCCGCAGUAA
RNAcentral lists this ribosomal RNA (451 nucleotides) under uncultured bacterium. RNAcentral's name for it is "partial 16S ribosomal RNA". It matches the Rfam family "Bacterial small subunit ribosomal RNA", at positions 29 to 523 of the family's 1533-position model. The record is from RNAcentral.